CGCCGCGUGAGGGAUGACGGCCUUCGGGUUGUAAACCUCUUUCAGCACAGACGAAGCGAAAGUGACGGUAUGUGCAGAAGAAGGACCGGCCAACUACGUGCCAGCAGCCGCGGUAAUACGUAGGGUCCGAGCGUUGUCCGGAAUUAUUGGGCGUAAAGGGCUCGUAGGCGGUUUGUCACGUCGGGAGUGAAAACCAGGUGCUUAACACCUGGCCUGCUUCCGAUACGGGCUGACUAGAGGUAUUCAGGGGAGAAUGGAAUUCCUGGUGUAGCGGUGAAAUGCGCAGAUAUCAGGAGGAACACCGGUGGCGAAGGCGGUUCUCUGGGAAUGACCUGACGCUGAGGAGCGAAAGUGUGGGGAGCGAACAGGAUUAGAUACCCUGGUAGUCCAAGGG
RNAcentral lists this ribosomal RNA (394 nucleotides) under uncultured bacterium. RNAcentral's name for it is "bacterial SSU rRNA". It matches the Rfam family "Bacterial small subunit ribosomal RNA", at positions 395 to 801 of the family's 1533-position model. The record is from RNAcentral.